This 869-nucleotide ribosomal RNA is filed under the name Aspergillus aurantiobrunneus. Its description in RNAcentral is "LSU rRNA". It matches the Rfam family "Eukaryotic large subunit ribosomal RNA", at positions 84 to 968 of the family's 3401-position model. The record is from RNAcentral. Lineage: Eukaryota; Fungi; Ascomycota; Eurotiomycetes; Eurotiales; Aspergillaceae.
UAACGGCGAGUGAAGCGGCAAGAGCUCAAAUUUGAAAUCUGGCCCCCUGCGGGGUCCGAGUUGUAAUUUGCAGAGGAUGCUUCGGGUGCGGCCCCUGCCUAAGUGCCCUGGAAUGGGCCGUCAGAGAGGGUGAGAAUCCCGUCCUGGGCAGGGUGCCCCGCGCCCGUGUGAAGCUCCUUCGACGAGUCGAGUUGUUUGGGAAUGCAGCUCUAAAUGGGUGGUAAAUUUCAUCUAAAGCUAAAUACCGGCCGGAGACCGAUAGCGCACAAGUAGAGUGAUCGAAAGAUGAAAAGCACUUUGAAAAGAGAGUUAAACAGCACGUGAAAUUGUUGAAAGGGAAGCGCUUGCGACCAGACUCGCCCCCGGGGUUCAGCCGGCACUCGUGCCGGUGUACUUCCCCGGGGGCGGGCCAGCGUCGGUUUGGGCGGCCGGUCAAAGGCCCCAGGAAUGUAUCGCCCCCCGGGGCGUCUUAUAGCCUGGGGUGCAAUGCGGCCAGCCCGGACCGAGGAACGCGCUUCGGCACGGACGCUGGCGUAAUGGUCGCAAACGACCCGUCUUGAAACACGGACCAAGGAGUCUAACAUCUACGCGAGUGUUCGGGUGUCAAACCCGUACGCGCAGUGAAAGCGAACGGAGGUGGGAGCCCCCCCGGGGCGCACCAUCGACCGAUCCUGAUGUCUUCGGAUGGAUUUGAGUACGAGCGUAGCUGUGGGGACCCGAAAGAUGGUGAACUAUGCCUGAAUAGGGUGAAGCCAGAGGAAACUCUGGUGGAGGCUCGCAGCGGUUCUGACGUGCAAAUCGAUCGUCAAAUUUGGGUAUAGGGGCGAAAGACUAAUCGAACCAUCUGGUAGCUGGUUCCUGCCGAAGUU